AACGAACGCUGGCGGCAGGCCUAACACAUGCAAGUCGAGCGAGGACUUCGGUCCUAGCGGCGGACGGGUGAGUAACGCGUGGGAACGUGCCCUUGCUUCGGAAUAGCCCUGGGAAACUGGGAGUAAUACCGGAUGAGCCCUUUGGGGGAAAGAUUUAUCGGCGAAGGAUCGGCCCGCGUUGGAUUAGGUAGUUGGUGGGGUAAUGGCCUACCAAGCCGACGAUCCAUAGCUGGUUUGAGAGGAUGAUCAGCCACACUGGGACUGAGACACGGCCCAGACUCCUACGGGAGGCAGCAGUGGGGAAUCUUAGACAAUGGGGGAAACCCUGAUCUAGCCAUGCCGCGUGAGCGAUGAAGGCCUUAGGGUUGUAAAGCUCUUUCAGCUGGGAAGAUAAUGACGGUACCAGCAGAAGAAGCCCCGGCUAACUCCGUG
RNAcentral lists this ribosomal RNA (432 nucleotides) under uncultured bacterium. RNAcentral's name for it is "partial 16S ribosomal RNA". It matches the Rfam family "Bacterial small subunit ribosomal RNA", at positions 29 to 507 of the family's 1533-position model. The record is from RNAcentral.